UACAGAGGGGGCAAGCGUUGUUCGGAAUUACUGGGCGUAAAGGGCGCGUAGGCGGCCUGCUAAGUCGAACGUGAAAUCCCCGAGCUCAACUCGGGAACUGCGUCCGAUACUGGCAGGCUUGAAUCCGGGAGAGGGAUGCGGAAUUCCAGGUGUAGCGGUGAAAUGCGUAGAUAUCAGGAGGAACACCAGCGGCGAAGGCGGCGCUCUGGGCCGGUACUGACGCUGAGGAGCGAAAGCGUGGGGAGCAAACAGG
Molecule: ribosomal RNA, 253 nt
Filed under: uncultured bacterium
Lineage: Bacteria
Description: partial 16S ribosomal RNA
Rfam family: Bacterial small subunit ribosomal RNA
Source: RNAcentral